This 65-nucleotide transfer RNA is filed under the name Herona marathus. RNAcentral's name for it is "tRNA-His". The record is from RNAcentral. Lineage: Eukaryota; Metazoa; Arthropoda; Insecta; Lepidoptera; Nymphalidae.
AUUUAAAUAAUUUAAAUAAAAUAUUGAUUUGUGGAAUCAAAAAUAUGAAUUAAUCAUUUUAAAUC